This 447-nucleotide long non-coding RNA is filed under the name Malus domestica (apple). RNAcentral's name for it is "long non-coding RNA (MDOM_LNC003845)". The record is from RNAcentral. Lineage: Eukaryota; Viridiplantae; Streptophyta; Magnoliopsida; Rosales; Rosaceae.
GUAACAUCGCCCACUGCCUCGCUAAUUGGAACCUAAUGGAUCACACACCACAUAAGGAUGUUAGUGAAGAAAUUAUAUGAAAUGGAUAAGCAAUUAAAUGGUUUAAUUGAAGAAUGGUCAAGAUUAAUUAAUUAGUUAAUUAAUUAUACGAAAGGUUCGUAUUGGGCUUUUAAGUUAGUUUGGGCUUCGGGGUCCAAAAUUGUUUUGGUCCACUAGGCCCAUUAUGUUUAAGUUGUAUGACAACUAAAACAAAUAUGGGUAUUUAGCCCAAUAACAAAAGGAGGCCGGCCAUGUCAAGGGUAGUGGGAAUUUAUGCUUAAUUGCAAGUUUGCCACUAACCUAAGAGAUGAAGUAUAAAGUCAUCUUUAUAGCAUUGUUUCUCAUUAGGGUUUUCUAAUAGAAAUUGGGUGAAACAUUUUCUCUCAUUUUCUACAUAGAGGCCGGCCA